CAGCAGCCGCGGGAAAACGGAGGGAGCGAGCGUUGUUCGGAAUUACUGGGCGUAAAGGGUGCGCAGGCGGCUUUGUAAGUUGGGAGUGAAAUCCCUGGGCUUAACCCAGGAAUUGCCUUCAAAACUACAAGGCUAGAGUCUCGGAGAGGUUAGCGGAAUUCCCAGUGUAGAGGUGAAAUUCGUAGAUAUUGGGAGGAACACCAGUGGCGUAAGCGGCUAACUAGACGAGUACUGACGCUCAGGCACGAAAGCGUGGGGAUCAAACAGGAUUAGAUACCCGAGUAGUCCCUGUCUCUUAUAC
RNAcentral lists this ribosomal RNA (301 nucleotides) under uncultured bacterium. RNAcentral describes it as "partial 16S ribosomal RNA". It matches the Rfam family "Bacterial small subunit ribosomal RNA", at positions 509 to 807 of the family's 1533-position model. The record is from RNAcentral.